Molecule: long non-coding RNA, 505 nt
Organism: Gorilla gorilla gorilla (western lowland gorilla)
Lineage: Eukaryota; Metazoa; Chordata; Mammalia; Primates; Hominidae
Exons: 3
Source: RefSeq, a predicted model, not a curated record
CUUGUAGAGAAGGUGUCUGCUUCCUUUUCACCUUCUGCCAUGAUUGUAAGUUUCCUGAGACCUCCCCAGCCAUGCGAAACUGACCCCACUGAAAAUCGGACUGUUCAACUCACCUGGCAGCCACUUCCAGAGCCCCUGGAACUCUGGCCCAAGGCUUUCUGACUGACGCCUUCCCAGAUCUUCUAGGCUUAGCAGCUGAAGACUGACACUGCCCGAUCGCCUCGGAAGCCUGCAGGACCAUCACAGAUGCUCUGGGUAACUCUCACAGUGGAGGGGAAUAAUACUCUAUGAUGGUGGCAUUUUGGAUCCAGGCACUAUUUCUUAAUGUGAAUUCAGGCCCCAAACGGCAGCCAGUUGGAUGGAGUCCAAACCCCAAAAAGAAGGGACUGGGAUUGGUAAGGACCUGAAAAAUUGUCAAGGCAGCAAACAGAUGAUUUGAAGUUACAAGAAGAGCCGCCAUCUCAUCAGGAAAAGCAGACAGCAAAUCAGGAAAUUAAAUUCUACA